AUGAACGCUGGCGGUAUGCUUCACACAUGCAAGUCGAACGGACUCUUCGGAGUUAGUGGCGGACGGGUGAGUAACGCGUGAGAAUCUGGCUUUGGGUUCGGGACAACCACUGGAAACGGUGGCUAAUACCGGAUGUGCCGAGAGGUAAAAGAGAAAUUGCCUGAAGAUGAGCUCGCGUCUGAUUAGCUAGUUGGUGAGGUAAAGGCUCACCAAGGCAGCGAUCAGUAGCUGGUCUGAGAGGAUGACCAGCCACACUGGGACUGAGACACGGCCCAGACUCCUACGGGAGGCAGCAGUGGGGAAUUUUCCGCAAUGGGCGAAAGCCUGACGGAGCAAUACCGCGUGAGGGAAGAAGGCUCUUGGGUUGUAAACCUCUUUUCUUAGGGAAGAACAAAAUGACGGUACCCAAGGAAUCAGCAUCGGCUAACUCCGUG
Molecule: ribosomal RNA, 434 nt
Filed under: uncultured bacterium
Lineage: Bacteria
Description: partial 16S ribosomal RNA
Rfam family: Bacterial small subunit ribosomal RNA
Source: RNAcentral